CCCUUAGAUGUCCUGGGCCGCACGCGCGCUACACUGAUGCAUGCAACGAGUUUAUAACCUUGGCCUGAAAGGUCUGGGUAAUCUUUUGAACGUGCAUCGUGAUAGGGAUAGAUUAUUGCAAUUGUUAAUCUUGAACGAGGAAUUCCUAGUAAACGCGAGUCAUCAGCUCGCAUUGAUUACGUCCCUGCCCUUUGUACACACCGCCCGUCGCACCUACCGAUUGAAUGGUUCGGUGAAGAUCUCGGACUUCGAUAUUUAUUCUUUAUUGAGUUUAUAUUGUGGGAAGUUAUUUAAACCUCAUCAUUUAGAGGAAGGUGAAGUCGUAACA
This 328-nucleotide ribosomal RNA is filed under the name uncultured eukaryote. RNAcentral describes it as "partial 18S ribosomal RNA". It matches the Rfam family "Eukaryotic small subunit ribosomal RNA", at positions 1470 to 1796 of the family's 1831-position model. The record is from RNAcentral.